GGUGCUGUGGCCGAAUGGCUCAGGCACGGCUCUGCAAAAGCCGGGAUACCGGUUCGAAUCCGGUCAGCACCU
Molecule: transfer RNA, 72 nt
Filed under: Chitinophagaceae bacterium
Lineage: Bacteria; Pseudomonadati; Bacteroidota; Chitinophagia; Chitinophagales; Chitinophagaceae
Also listed under: 1 other name
Description: tRNA-Cys
Rfam family: tRNA
About the family: Transfer RNA (tRNA) molecules are approximately 80 nucleotides in length. Their secondary structure includes four short double-helical elements and three loops (D, anti-codon, and T loops).
Source: RNAcentral